RNAcentral lists this ribosomal RNA (23 nucleotides) under Annulohypoxylon sp. HMF-082. RNAcentral describes it as "partial 28S ribosomal RNA". The record is from RNAcentral. Lineage: Eukaryota; Fungi; Ascomycota; Sordariomycetes; Xylariales; Hypoxylaceae.
GGUUGACCUCGGAUUAGGUAGGG